Molecule: ribosomal RNA, 878 nt
Filed under: Halomonas sp. M7(2014)
Lineage: Bacteria; Pseudomonadati; Pseudomonadota; Gammaproteobacteria; Oceanospirillales; Halomonadaceae
Description: bacterial SSU rRNA
Rfam family: Bacterial small subunit ribosomal RNA
Source: RNAcentral
GGGAAAUGACUCACAGCGGCAGGCCUAACACAUGCAAGUCGAGCGGUGAACAGAUCCAGCUUGCUGGAUGCUGACGAGCGGCGGACGGGUGAGUAAUGCAUAGGAAUCUGCCCGAUAGUGGGGGAUAACCUGGGGAAACCCAGGCUAAUACCGCAUACGUCCUACGGGAGAAAGCAGGGGCUCUUCGGACCUUGCGCUAUCGGAUGAGCCUAUGUCGGAUUAGCUAGUUGGUGAGGUAAUGGCUCACCAAGGCGACGAUCCGUAGCUGGUCUGAGAGGAUGAUCAGCCACAUCGGGACUGAGACACGGCCCGAACUCCUACGGGAGGCAGCAGUGGGGAAUAUUGGACAAUGGGGGCAACCCUGAUCCAGCCAUGCCGCGUGUGUGAAGAAGGCCUUCGGGUUGUAAAGCACUUUCAGUGAGGAAGAAGGCCUUGGGCUUAAUACGUCCGAGGAAGGACAUCACUCACAGAAGAAGCACCGGCUAACUCCGUGCCAGCAGCCGCGGUAAUACGGAGGGUGCGAGCGUUAAUCGGAAUUACUGGGCGUAAAGCGCGCGUAGGUGGCGUGAUAAGCCGGUUGUGAAAGCCCCGGGCUCAACCUGGGAACGGCAUCCGGAACUGUCAUGCUAGAGUGCAGGAGAGGAAGGUAGAAUUCCCGGUGUAGCGGUGAAAUGCGUAGAGAUCGGGAGGAAUACCAGUGGCGAAGGCGGCCUUCUGGACUGACACUGACACUGAGGUGCGAAAGCGUGGGUAGCAAACAGGAUUAGAUACCCUGGUAGUCCACGCCGUAAACGAUGUCGACUAGCCGUUGGGAGCCUCGAGUUCUUAGUGGCGCAGUUAACGCGAUAAGUCGACUUGCCUGGGGAGUACGGCGCGAC